RNAcentral lists this long non-coding RNA (8948 nucleotides) under Xyrichtys novacula (pearly razorfish). Lineage: Eukaryota; Metazoa; Chordata; Actinopteri; Labriformes; Labridae. The record is from RNAcentral.
UUAGUGUUGGAGCUAGGGUUAGGCUUGGGCUUGGAGCUAGGAUUUUUCUGAGUACAAUGAACCAACUCCCGAGUCUCUUGGACGUUCCUAAAAAAAUUUGAUUUUUUCCCAUAGGAAUGCAUGGGUUAGGGUUAGGGUUAGGGUUGGAGCUAGGGUUAGGGUUAGGGUUAGGGUUGGAGUUAGGGUUAGUGUUGGAGCUAGGGUUAGGGUUGGGCUUGGAGCUAGGAUUUUUCUGAGUGCAAUGAACCAACUCCCGAGUCUCUAGGACGUUCCUAAUAAAAUUUGAUUUUUUCCCAUAGGAAUGCAUGGGUUAGGGUUAGGGUAAGUGUUGGAGCUAGGGUUUGGGUUAAGGUUAGGGUUGGAGUUAGGGUUAGUGUUGGAGCUAGGGUUAGGGUUGGGCUUGGAGCUAGGAUUUUUCUGAGUGCACUGAACCAACUCCCGAGUCUCUAGGACAUUCCUAAAAAAAUUUGAUUUUUUCCCAUAGGAAUGCAUGGUUUAGGGUUAUGGUUAGGGUUAGGGUUGGAGCUAGGGUUAGGGUUAGGGUUAGGGUUGGAGUUAGGGUUAGUGUUGGAGCUAGGGUUAGGGUUGGGCUUGGAGCUAGGAUUUUUCUGAGUGCACUGAACCAACUCCCGAGUCUCUAGGACAUUCCUAAAAAAAUUUGAUUUUUUCCCAUAGGAAUGCAUGGGUUAGGGUUAUGGUUAGGGUUAGGGUUGGAGCUAGGGUAAGGGUUAGGGUUAGGGUUGGAGUUAGGGUUAGUGUUGGAGCUAGGUUUAGGGUUGGGCUUGGAGCUAGGAUUUUUCUGAGUGCAAUGAACCAACUCCCGAGUCUCUUGGAUGUUCCUAAAAAAAUUUGAUUUUUUCCCAUAGGAAUGCAUGGGUUAGGGUUAGGGUUAGGGUUGGAGCUAGGGUUAGGGUUAGGGUUAGGGUUGGAGUAAGGGUUAGUGUUGGAGCUAGGGUUAGGGUUGGGCUUGGAGCUAGGAUUUUUCUGAGUGCACUGAACCAACUCCCGAGUCUCUAGGACAUUCCUAAAAAAAUUUGAUUUUUUCCCAUAGGAAUGCAUGGGUUAGGGUUAUGGUUAGGGUUAGGGUUGGAGCUAGGGUUAGGGUUAGGGUUAGGGUUGGAGUUAGGGUUAGUGUUGGAGCUAGGGUUAGGGUUGGGCUUGGAGCUAGGAUUUUUCUGAGUGCAAUGAACCAACUCCCGAGUCUCUAGGACGUUCCCUAAAAAAAUUUGAUUUUUUCCCAUAGGAAUGCAUGGGUUAGGGUUAGGGUUAGGGUUGGAGCUAGGGUUAGGGUUAGGGUUAGGGUUGGAGUUAGGGUUAGUGUUGGAGCUAGGGUUAGGCUUGGGCUUGGAGCUAGGAUUUUUCUGAGUACAAUGAACCAACUCCCGAGUCUCUUGGACGUUCCUAAAAAAAUUUGAUUUUUUCCCAUAGGAAUGCAUGGGUUAGGGUUAGGGUUAGGGUUGGAGCUAGGGUUAGGGUUAGGGUUAGGGUUGGAGUUAGGGUUAGUGUUGGAGCUAGGGUUAGGGUUGGGCUUGGAGCUAGGAUUUUUCUGAGUGCAAUGAACCAACUCCCGAGUCUCUAGGACGUUCCUAAUAAAAUUUGAUUUUUUCCCAUAGGAAUGCAUGGGUUAGGGUUAGGGUAAGGGUUGGAGCUAGGGUUUGGGUUAAGGUUAGGGUUGGAGUUAGGGUUAGUGUUGGAGCUAGGGUUAGGGUUGGGCUUGGAGCUAGGAUUUUUCUGAGUGCACUGAACCAACUCCCGAGUCUCUAGGACAUUCCUAAAAAAAUUUGAUUUUUUCCCAUAGGAAUGCAUGGGUUUGGGUUAGGGUUAGGGUUGGAGCUAGGGUUAGGGUUAGGGUUAGGGUUGGAGUUAGGGUUAGUGUUGGAGCUAGGGUUAGGGUUGGGCUUGGAGCUAGGAUUUUUCUGAGUGCAAUGAACCAACUCCCGAGUCUCUUGGACGUUCCUAAAAAAUUUUGAUUUUUUCCCAUAGGAAUGCAUGGGUUAGGGUUAGGGUUAGGGUUGGAGCUAGGGUUAGGGUUAGGGUUAGGGUUGGAGUUAGGGUUAGUGUUGGAGCUAGGGUUAGGAUUGGGCUUGGAGCUAGGAUUUUUCUGAGUGCAAUGAACCAACUCCCGAGUCUCUAGGACGUUCCUAAUAAAAUUUGAUUUUUUCCCAUAGGAAUGCAUGGGUUAGGGUUAGGGUAAGGGUUGGAGCUAGGGUUAGGGUUAAGGUUAGGGUUGGAGUUAGGGUUAGUGUUGGAGCUAGGGUUAGGGUUGGGCUUGGAGCUAGGAUUUUUCUGAGUGCACUGAACCAACUCCCGAGUCUCUAGGACAUUCCUAAAAAAAUUUGAUUUUUUCCCAUAGGAAUGCAUGGUUUAGGGUUAUGGUCAGGGUUAGGGUUGGAGCUAGGGUUAGGGUUAGGGUUAGGGUUGGAGUUAGGGUUAGUGUUGGAGCUAGGGUUAGGGUUGGGCUUGGAGCUAGGAUUUUUCUGAGUGGAAUGAACCAACUCCCGAGUCUCUAGGACGUUCCUAAAAAAAUUUGAUUUUUUCCCAUAGGAAUGCAUGGGUUAGGGUUAGGGUUAGGGUUGGAGCUAGGGUUAGGGUUAGGGUUAGGGUUGGAGUUAGGGUUAGUGUUGGAGCUAGGGUUAGGGUUGGGCUUGGAGCUAGGAUUUUUCUGAGUGCACUGAACCAACUCCCGAGUCUCUAGGACAUUCCUAAAAAAAUUGAUUUUUUUUCCCAUAGGAAUGCAUGGGUUAGGGUUAUGGUUAGGUUUAGGGUUGGAGCUAGGGUUAGGGUAAGGGUUAGGGUUGGAGUUAGGGUUAGUGUUGGAGCUAGGGUUAGGGUUGGGCUUGGAGCUAGGAUUUUUCUGAGUGCAAUGAACCAACUCCCGAGUCUCUAGGACGUUCCUAAAAAAAUUUGAUUUUUUCCCAUAGGAAUGCAUGGGUUAGGGUUAGGGUUAGGGUUGGAGCUAGGGUUAGGGUUAGGGUUAGGGUUGGAGUUAGGGUUAGUGUUGGAGCUAGGGUUAGGGUUGGGCUUGGAGCUAGGAUUUUUCUGAGUGCAAUGAACCAACUCCCGAGUCUCUAGGACGUUCCUAAAAAAAAUUGAUUUUUUCCCAUAGGAAUGCAUGGGUUAGGGUUAGGGUUAGGGUUGGAGCUAGGGUUAGGGUUAGGGUUAGGGUUGGAGUUAGGGUUAGUGUUGGAGCUAGGGUUAGGGUUGGGCUUGGAGCUAGGACUUUUCUGAGUGCAAUGAACCAACUCCCGAUUCUCUAGGACAUUCCUAAAAAAAUUUGAUUUUUUCCCAUAGGAAUGCAUGGGUUAGGGUUAUGGGUUAGGGUUAGGGUUGGAGCUAGGGUUAGGGUUAGGGUUAGGGUUGGAGUUAGGGUUAGUGUUGGAGCUAGGGUUAGGGUUGGGCUUGGAGCUAGGAUUUUUCUGAGUGCACUGAACCAACUCCCGAGUCUCUAGGACAUUCCUAAAAAAAUUUGAUUUUUUCCCAUAGGAAUGCAUGGGUUAGGGUUAGGGUUAGGGUUAGGGUUGGAGCUAGGGUUAGGGUUAGGGUUAGGGUUGGAGUUAGGGUUAGUGUUGGAGCUAGGGUUAGGGUUGGGCUUGGAGCUAGGAUUUUUCUGAGUGCACUGAACCAACUCCCGAGUCUCUAGGACAUUCCUAAAAAAAUUUGAUUUUUUCCCAUAGGAAUGCAUGGUUUAGGGUUAUGGUUAGGGUUAGGGUUGCAGCUAGGGUUAGGGUUAGGGUUAGGGUUGGAGUUAGGGUUAGUGUUGGAGCUAGGGUUAGGGUUGGGCUUGGAGCUAGGAUUUUUCUGAGUGCAAUGAACCAACUCCCGAGUCUCUAGGACGUUCCUAAAAAAAUUUGAUUUUUUCCCAUAGGAAUGCAUGGGUUAGGGUUAGGGUUAGGGUUGGAGCUAGGGUUAGGGUUAGGGUUAGGGUUGGAGUUAGGGUUAGUGUUGGAGCUAGGGUUAGGGUUGGGCUUGGAGCUAGGAUUUUUCUGAGUGCAAUGAACCAACUCCCGAGUCUCUAGGACGUUCCUAAUAAAAUUUGAUUUUUUCCCAUAGGAAUGCAUGGGUUAGGGUUAGGGUAAGGGUUGGAGCUAGGGUUAGGGGUAAGGGUUAGGGUUGGAGUUAGGGUUAGUGUUGGAGCUAGGGUUAGGGUUGGGCUUGGAGCUAGGAUUUUUCUGAGUGCACUGAACCAACUCCCGAGUCUCUAGGACAUUCCUAAAAAAAUUUGAUUUUUUCCCAUAGGAAUGCAUGGUUUAGGGUUAUGGUCAGGGUUAGGGUUGGAGCUAGGGUUAGGGUUAGGGUUAGGGUUGGAGUUAGGGUUAGUGUUGGAGCUAGGGUUAGGGUUGGGCUUGGAGCUAGGAUUUUUCUGAGUGGAAUGAACCAACUCCCGAGUCUCUAGGACGUUCCUAAAAAAAUUUGAUUUUUUCCCAUAGGAAUGCAUGGGUUAGGGUUAGGGUUAGGGUUGGAGCUAGGGUUAGGGUUAGGGUUAGGGUUGGAGUUAGGGUUAGUGUUGGAGCUAGGGUUAGGGUUGGGCUUGGAGCUAGGAUUUUUCUGAGUGCACUGAACCAACUCCCGAGUCUCUAGGACAUUCCUAAAAAAAUUGAUUUUUUUCCCAUAGGAAUGCAUGGGUUAGGGUUAUGGUUAGGUUUAGGGUUGGAGCUAGGGUUAGGGUAAGGGUUAGGGUUGGAGUUAGGGUUAGUGUUGGAGCUAGGGUUAGGGUUGGGCUUGGAGCUAGGAUUUUUCUGAGUGCAAUGAACCAACUCCCGAGUCUCUUGGACGUUCCUAAAAAAAUUUGAUUUUUUCCCAUAGGAAUGCAUGGGUUAAGGUUAGGGUUAGGGUUGGAGCUAGGGUUAGGGUUAGGGUUAGGGUUGGAGUUAGGGUUAGUGUUGGAGCUAGGGUUAGGGUUGGGCUUGGAGCUAGGAUUUUUCUGAGUGCAAUGAACCAACUCCCGAGUCUCUAGGACGUUCCUAAAAAAAUUUGAUUUUUUCCCAUAGGAAUGCAUGGGUUAGGGUUAGGGUUAGGGUUGGAGCUAGGGUUAGGGUUAGGGUUAGGGUUGGAGUUAGGGUUAGUGUUGGAGCUAGGGUUAGGGUUGGGCUUGGAGCUAGGAUUUUUCUGAGUGCAAUGAACCAACUCCCGAUUCUCUAGGACAUUCCUAAAAAAAUUUGAUUUUUUCCCAUAGGAAUGCAUGGGUUAGGGUUAGGGUUAGGGUUGGAGCUAGGGUUAGGGUUAGGGUUAGGGUUGGAGUUAGGGUUAGUGUUGGAGCUAGGGUUAGGGUUGGGCUUGGAGCUAGGAUUUUUCUGAGUGCACUGAACCAACUCCCGAGUCUCUAGGACAUUCCUAAAAAAAUUUGAUUUUUUCCCAUAGGAAUGCAUGGGUUAGGGUUAUGGUUAGGGUUAGGGUUGGAGCUAGGGUUAGGGUUAGGGUUAGGGUUGGAGUUAGGGUUAGUGUUGGAGCUAGGGUUAGGGUUGGGCUUGGAGCUAGGAUUUUUCUGAGUGCACUGAACCAACUCCCGAGUCUCUAGGACAUUCCUAAAAAAAUUUGAUUUUUUCCCAUAGGAAUGCAUGGGUUAGGGUUAGGGUUAGGGUUGGAGCUAGGGUUAGGGUUAGGGUUAGGGUUGGAGUUAGGGUUAGUGUUGGAGCUAGGGUUAGGGUUGGGCUUGGAGCUAGGAUUUUUCUGAGUGCAAUGAACCAACUCCCGAGUCUCUAGGAUGUUCCCUAAAAAAAUUUGAUUUUUUCCCAUAGGAAUGCAUGGGUUAGGGUUAGGGUUAGGGUUGGAGCUAGGGUUAGGGUUAGGGUAAGGGUUGGAGUUAGGGUUAGUGUUGGAGCUAGGGUUAGGGUUGGGCUUGGAGCUAGGAUUUUUCUGAGUGCACUGAACCAACUCCCGAGUCUCUAGGACAUUCCUAAAAAAAUUUGAUUUUUUCCCAUAGGAAUGCAUGGGUUAGGGUUAGGGUUAGGGUUGGAGCUAGGGUUAGGGUUAGGGUUAGGGUUGGAGUUAGGGUUAGUGUUGGAGCUAGGGUUAGGGUUGGGCUUGGAGCUAGGAUUUUUCUGAGUGCACUGAACCAACUCCCGAGUCUCUAGGACAUUCCUAAAAAAAUUUGAUUUUUUCCCAUAGGAAUGCAUGGGUUAGGGUUAGGGUUAGGGUUAGGGUUGGAGCUAGGGUUAGGGUUAGGGUUAGGGUUGGAGUUAGGGUUAGUGUUGGAGCUAGGGUUAGGGUUGGGCUUGGAGCUAGGAUUUUUCUGAGUGCACUGAACCAACUCCCGAGUCUCUUGGACGUUCCUAAAAAAAUUUGAUUUUUUCCCAUAGGAAUGCAUGGGUUAGGGUUAUGGUUAGGGUUAGGGUUGGAGCUAGGGUUAGGGUUAGGGUUAGGGUUGGAGUUAGGGUUAGUGUUGGAGCUAGGGUUAGGGUUGGGCUUGGAGCUAGGAUUUUUCUGAGUGCAAUGAACCAACUCCCGAGUCUCUAGGACGUUCCUAAAAAAAUUUGAUUUUUUCCCAUAGGAAUGCAUGGGUUAGGGUUAGGGUUAGGGUUGGAGCUAGGGUUAGGGUUAGGGUUAGGGUUGGAGUUAGGGUUAGUGUUGGAGCUAGGGUUAGGGUUGGGCUUGGAGCUAGGAUUUUUCUGAGUGCACUGAACCAACUCCCGAGUCUCUAGGACGUUCCUAAAAAAAUUUGAUUUUUUCCCAUAGGAAUGCAUGGGUUAGGGUUAUGGUUAGGGUUAGGGUUGGAGCUAGGGUUAGGGUUAGGGUUAGGGUUGGAGUUAGGGUUAGUGUUGGAGCUAGGGUUAGGGUUGGGCUUGGAGCUAGGAUUUUUCUGAGUGCAAUGAACCAACUCCCGAAUCUCUUGGACGUUCCUAAAAAAAUUUGAUUUUUUCCCAUAGGAAUGCAUGGGUUAGGGUUAGGGUUAGGGUUGGAGCUAGGGUUAGGGUUAGGGUUAGGGUUGGAGUUAGGGUUAGUGUUGGAGCUAGGGUUAGGGUUGGGCUUGGAGCUAGGAUUUUUCUGAGUGCACUGAACCAACUCCCGAGUCUCUAGGACAUUCCUAAAAAAAUUGAUUUUUUCCCAUAGGAAUGCAUGGUUUAGGGUUAUGGUUAGGGUUAGGGUUGGAGCUAGGGUUAGGGUUAGGGUUAGGGUUGGAGUUAGGGUUAGUGUUGGAGCUAGGGUUAGGGUUGCGCUUGGAGCUAGGAUUUUUCUGAGUGCAAUGAACCAACUCCCGAGUCUCUAGGACGUUCCUAAAAAAAUUUGAUUUUUUCCCAUAGGAAUGCAUGGGUUAGGGUUAGGGUUAGGGUUGGAGCUAGGGUUAGGGUUAGGGUUAGGGUUGGAGUUAGGGUUAGUGUUGGAGCUAGGGUUAGGGUUGGGCUUGGAGCUAGGAUUUUUCUGAGUGCACUGAACCAACUCCCGAGUCUCUAGGACAUUCCUAAAAAAAUUUGAUUUUUUCCCAUAGGAAUGCAUGGGUUAGGGUUAUGGUUGGGGUUAGGGUUGGAGCUAGGGUUAGGGUUAGGGUUAGGGUUGGAGUUAGGGUUAGUGUUGGAGCUAGGGUUAGGGUUGGGCUUGGAGCUAGGAUUUUUCUGAGUGCACUGAACCAACUCCCGAGUCUCUAGGACGUUCCUAAAAAAAUUUGAUUUUUUCCCAUAGGAAUGCAUGGGUUAGGGUUAGGGUUAGGGUUGGAGCUAGGGUUAGGGUUAGGGUUAGGGUUAGGGUUGGAGUUAGGGUUAGUGUUGGAGCUAGGGUUAGGGUUGGGCUUGGAGCUAGGAUUUUUCUGAGUGCACUGAACCAACUCCCGAGUCUCUAGGAUAUUCCUAAAAAAAUUUGAUUUUUUCCCAUAGGAAUGCAUGGGUUAGGGUUAGGGUUAGGGUUGGAGCUAGGGUUAGGGUUAGGGUUAGGGUUGGAGUUAGGGUUAGUGUUGGAGCUAGGGUUAGGGUUGGGCUUGGAGCUAGGAUUUUUCUGAGUGCACUGAACCAACUCCCGAGUCUCUAGGACAUUCCUAAAAAAAUUUGAUUUUUUCCCAUAGGAAUGCAUGGGUUAGGGUUAUGGUUAGGGUUAGGGUUGGAGCUAGGGUUAGGGUUAGGUUUAGGGUUGGAGUUAGGGUUAGUGUUGGAGCUAGGGUUAGGGUUGGGCUUGGAGCUAGGACUUUUCUGAGUGCAAUGAACCAACUCCCGAGUCUCUAGGACGUUCCCUAAAAAAAUUUGAUUUUUUCCCAUAGGAAUGCAUGGGUUAGGGUUAGGGUUAGGGUUGGAGCUAGGGUUAGGGUUAGGGUUAGGGUUGGAGUUAGGGUUAGUGUUGGAGCUAGGUUUAGGGUUGGGCUUGGAGCUAGGAUUUUUCUGAGUGCACUGAACCAACUCCCGAGUCUCUAGGACAUUCCUAAAAAAAUUUGAUUUUUUCCCAUAGGAAUGCAUGGGUUAGGGUUAUGGUUGGGGUUAGGGUUGGAGCUAGGGUUAGGGUUAGGGUUAGGGUUGGAGUUAGGGUUAGUGUUGGAGCUAGGGUUAGGGUUGGGCUUGGAGCUAGGAUUUUUCUGAGUGCACUGAACCAACUCCCGAGUCUCUAGGACAUUCCUAAAAAAAUUGAUUUUUUCCCAUAGGAAUGCAUGGGUUAGGGUUAUGGUUAGGGUUAGGGUUGGAGCGAGGGUUAGGGUUAGGGUUAGGGUUGGAGUUAGGGUUAGUGUUGGAGCUAGGGUUAGGGUUGGGCUUGGAGCUAGGAUUUUCUGAGUGCAAUGAACCAACUCCCGAGUCUCUAGGACGUUCCUAAAAAAAUUUGAUUUUUUCCCAUAGGAAUGCAUGGGUUAGGGUUAGGGUUAGGGUUGGAGCUAGGGUUAGGGUUAGGGUUAGGGUUAGGGUUGGAGUUAGGGUUAGUGUUGGAGCUAGGGUUAGGGUUGGGCUUGGAGCUAGGAUUUUUCUGAGUGCACUGAACCAACUCCCGAGUCUCUAGGACAUUCCUAAAAAAAUUUGAUUUUUUCCCAUAGGAAUGCAUGG